Molecule: ribosomal RNA, 511 nt
Filed under: uncultured bacterium
Lineage: Bacteria
Description: partial 16S ribosomal RNA
Rfam family: Bacterial small subunit ribosomal RNA
Source: RNAcentral
GACAAACGCUGGCGGCAUGCCUAACACAUGCAAGUCGAACGGACAGAACAGGGUAGCUUUUCGGAGUGGAACUGGAAAGUUGGUGGCGGCUGGGUGAUUAACGCGUGGACAACCUAUCUUGUAAAGGGGAAGAACCUCGAGAAACCGAAGCUAAUACCCCAUAAUAACCUUGCUUUGCAUGAAGUAAGGAGGAAAGGCGGCCUUAGCGCUGUCGAUACAAGAUGGGUCCGCGUCUGAUUAGCUAGUUGGUGGGGUAAAGGCCCACCAAGGGGACGAUCAGUUGACGGCCUGAGGGGGUGGACGAGCAAAUUGGGACUGGGAAACGGCCCCAGAUCCUAAGGGAGGGCGCAGUGGGGAAUCUUCCGCAAUGGGGGGAAGCCUGACGGAGGCAAGGCGCGUGAGUUGAAGAAGCCUUCCGGUUGUAAAACUCUGUACUUAUCGAAGAGAGAGUGUUGUAGUAAAUGACGAUACUAUGACGGUAGAUGCAGAAGAAGCCCCGGCUAACUAUGUG